This 492-nucleotide ribosomal RNA is filed under the name uncultured bacterium. RNAcentral describes it as "partial 16S ribosomal RNA". It matches the Rfam family "Bacterial small subunit ribosomal RNA", at positions 29 to 507 of the family's 1533-position model. The record is from RNAcentral.
AGUGAACGCUGGCGGUAGGCCUAACACAUGCAAGUCGAACGGCAGCACAGUAAGAGCUUGCUCUUACGGGUGGCGAGUGGCGGACGGGUGAGGAAUACAUCGGAAUCUACUUUUUCGUGGGGGAUAACGUAGGGAAACUUACGCUAAUACCGCAUACGACCUACGGGUGAAAGCAGGGGAUCUUCGGACCUUGCGCGAUUGAAUGAGCCGAUGUCGGAUUAGCUAGUUGGCGGGGUAAAGGCCCACCAAGGCGACGAUCCGUAGCUGGUCUGAGAGGAUGGUCAGCCACAACGGAACUGAGACACGGUCCAGACUCCUACGGGAGGCAGCAGUGGGGAAUAUUGGACAAUGGGCGCAAGCCUGAUCCAGCCAUACCGCGUGGGUGAAGAAGGCCUUCGGGUUGUAAAGCCCUUUUGUUGGGAAAGAAAAGCAGCAGGUUAAUACCCCGCUGUUCUGACGGUACCCAAAGAAUAAGCACCGGCUAACUUCGUG